GACGAAGGGGGCUAGCGUUGUUCGGAAUUACUGGGCGUAAAGGGCUCGUAGGUGGCCAACUAAGUCAGACGUGAAAUCCCCAGGCUCAACUUGGGAACUGCGUCUGAUACUGGAUGGCUUGAAUUCGGGAGAGGGAUGCAGAAUUCCAGGUGUAGCGGUGAAAUGCGUAGAUAUCUGGAGGAACACCGGUGGCGAAGGCGACAUCCUGGACCGGUAUUGACGCUGAGGCGUGAAAGCCAGGGGAGCAAACGGG
Molecule: ribosomal RNA, 253 nt
Filed under: uncultured bacterium
Lineage: Bacteria
Description: partial 16S ribosomal RNA
Rfam family: Bacterial small subunit ribosomal RNA
Source: RNAcentral